RNAcentral lists this ribosomal RNA (253 nucleotides) under uncultured bacterium. Its description in RNAcentral is "partial 16S ribosomal RNA". It matches the Rfam family "Bacterial small subunit ribosomal RNA", at positions 524 to 776 of the family's 1533-position model. The record is from RNAcentral.
UACGUAGGGGGCAAGCGUUGUCCGGAUUUAUUGGGCGUAAAGAGCGCGUAGGCGGCUAGGCAGGUCCGUUGUGAAAACUCGAGGCUCAACCUCGAGACGCCGGUGGAAACCAUCUAGCUAGAGUCCGGAAGAGGAGAGUGGAAUUCCUGGUGUAGCGGUGAAAUGCGCAGAUAUCAGGAAGAACACCCGUGGCGAAGGCGGCUCUCUGGUACGUGACUGACGCUGAGACGCGAAAGCGUGGGGAGCGAACAGG